UGGUCUGUCUCUGCCCUGGCAC
This 22-nucleotide microRNA is filed under the name Homo sapiens (human). RNAcentral's name for it is "hsa-miR-6753-3p". Lineage: Eukaryota; Metazoa; Chordata; Mammalia; Primates; Hominidae. The record is from miRBase by way of RNAcentral.